This is a long non-coding RNA of Limulus polyphemus (Atlantic horseshoe crab), 3410 nucleotides long. RefSeq lists it as uncharacterized. NCBI's taxonomy places the organism in Eukaryota, Metazoa, Arthropoda, Merostomata, Xiphosura, Limulidae. The record is from RefSeq and is a predicted model, not a curated record. The transcript has 2 exons.
UGAGAGUUCAAACUACAUAAUAAAGGUAUGUAAAUUAUUUUUCUGGCAGAUAGCAAACCAAUGAUUGGAGGCUACAAAUUCCAGGAUUUAGAUUCAUGCCACAGAAAAUGAAGUUUUCUAACUGACCAGUGUUUGUUAUCCUCCUGGUUCUGUAAGUAUAGACAUUAAGUAAUGUUUGGAAAAACCUUGUUCACAUUAAUGUUUUAAGAUAUGUUGAGAAUCUGCUGUAAUAAUUGAUUUCUAGGUAUUUGAUUUUCUGAACACCUGCAGUACUCCAGACUCUAAGACUUGGGUGAUAAUCUCCUAUCUAUACUAAAUGCAGUAGUUAUAAUGUUUGUGUUCAGUGGAAUCUGUUCUAAACUUUAUAAAAGAAUAAAUAACAUAUUGUAAAAUAGUUUCAUUUUGUUUAAAUAUUGGCAUUUCUAAUAUUUAUACAAUUUGGUUAUAGAUCCUAUUAACAGGAACAUUAUAAAGUAUUAAUGUUGGUUAACGUGUAAAGUUGACAUAUCACAAGAAUUUGAUAGACAAGCACUUCAAGAAAGAAAGUAUGUUGGAAUGUGGUUCGAUACAGUUGUAUUUUACAGUCUGUUAAAACCUUCGAUAUACAACUACUUUUAGAUGUAAUCAAAGGCAUGGUAAAUGAGGAACUGACAAACAUUAAAGCAUUAUUACUCAAAAUAUAAAAAUAGUUAUCUACCAUUUCUGUUGAAACUUUUAAGUUUAUUUUACUUGGUUUUCAAAUUAUGCAACAAAAGUGGUCUGAAAACCUCCACCUUGAAUUGGCAUAACCCUAAACAUAAGUUACAUGAUUUGUAUUUUGCAACAAAACAACUGAAUCAUUUAUCUACUGAAUUUUGAUGCACUGUAACUGAAAGACUUAUUUCAAAACUAUUACUUGAUGGCAUAAUGCAUAUUAAAUUAGCUCCCCAGUGUGACAGCAGUAUGUCUGCAGGUUUACAAUGGGUUUCGAUACCCGUGUUGGCAGAGCACAGAUAGCUCGUUGUGCAACUUUGUGCUUAACUUCAAACAAGCAUAUUAUAUGAAGUGCUUUUGGUGGUACUGCCUCAAAACAUUAUUAGACUUCAAAGCAGUUGCUCAAGAACUCCCUAGUGGCUGAGUGGUAAGUCAAAAGGCUUAUAAUAAAACUAGGUUUCUAUAUAGCAUAGAUAGCUCAUUGUGUAGCUUUACACUUAAAAACAAACAUUGUUGUUCUGGAAUGGUGGGAGAUGGUUCUGUUGAACAGGGAUCAUGAUAUCAAGCAUUAUAAAAAUUAUCCUUGUGAUAUACUGGGUUAUGACGUGCACAUCUGAUAGUGUUUUGUUUGUCAUGUUUUCAGAGAUAAUCAAGGGUAAUAUUGAAAAGUAAGUUUCUAUGUAAUCUAUGUUUGAACAUAAUAUGGACAAAUUCUACCUAUAAGUCUUCUUCAAGAGCAUAUUAACAUUCUUCAAACUACUUAAUCUUACAUAUGAUAGAAGAAGCAAUGAUAAAUUUAAAACUGUCUGACUAUUAAUAUUUUCAUACACUUAAUAUUUCACAGUUUACUUUGUGUCCAUGCAUAUCAGUAUUGUUAUAAGUCAGUUUCUAUGAGACAGUCUAAAACACUUAAUGUAGAAAAUGCUUAAUGUGCUUUAAUUCAAACCUUUCCCACAAAUAUUUGCACAAUUAAUUCAAGGUAGGCACAUCCCAAUACCUUAUUGAGAAAAUUGUGCAUUUUCAGUAAAUAAAACAACAAAGAUGUCUAACAGGCACAAAACCAUGGAACAACAGUCAACAAUAUACUCAAAACAUAUAAAACAUACAUCCACCCAGCAUGGAUUAAUGCAAAACAAACAACACAGAAGGCAUUAGUUACAACAGCCUAUCAAGUAACCAAGAUCCACAUCAGCGGCAUUUCUACACAAAUAUGCAAACUUACAAACAUUGACUGAUAGACUCAUAUAUAUAGUUCACUAAAUUACUUUUCAAAAAAUUGGUAUAAAAUGAUCUAUUUUGUAAAUUAGACUGCUUUUGCAUACCUGAUGAAAUCAGCCCAAAGCACCUUCCACAAGCAAAUAUAAAGUUUAAAAACCAAAACUUGGUGCUACUGUGACGUCAGACGAUGAUGAUAAUGUUCAGGGUGUUAGGGACAUACCAAUACAUCUAUCUGACACAGAGUUUAAAGCUGCUGUUCAGAAUUCUCCAUUGUUUCCAAUAUUUUAAAUUAACGGAACAACAACCAACAAAAGUUUUUAAUGUCACCCUGCUGCAAAGAUUGCUUGAUCAUGGUGAGCAUGAUUCGCUAUCAUAAUGUGGAAAACAUGUUUCUUUUAUGUUAAGUAUGUUACUUUAAACAUAAAACAAAUUGAACAGCUAUAAAGUGAAACAGUGGAUCAAAGUAAACAUGUUCUGUGGAGAGAUGUGAGGAAUAUAAUAACAACAGCAAGCAGUGCACAUAAAGAAACCACAAUCUCUUUAAAUUUUAUAAGGGAACAUUUACUGGUAAUAAAUAUACCAAACAUGGACAUGAGGCAGAAGCAGCAGCAACGAACAUUUUAUUACAAAAUGAUUACUCUUUAUAAGAGAAAAGAAUUUGUGUGUCUGUUGAGGAAAAUGGGUUGUGUGUCAGUCCUGGUGGAUUUUAGAUAGGGACAGAAUUUUAGAAAUUAAAUGUCCAGUGCAUAAUAACAAUUGAACAAACUUAAAUGGACUUUUUUAUUCUGUAAAAUAUGAUGUUUGUAAAAGUGUUGAAGGUACUUUGGUUUUGAAAGUGAAAGGUAGUAGAGGAUUUUAUAUACAGUUAACCAGGUUUUGCACUGGUCUUUAAAAAUGUAAACUUUUUAUAUGGUUAAGUGAAAAAGAUCAUACAUUUUUGAAUAUUAUGAAAACUAAAUUCCUGUUUCUAGAUUGUGUAUGUUUUAAUGUAAGAAAAUGUUACAGUGUAUUGUUGAUAAAACUGGAUAAUACAACUUAGUGUUUAGCAAAGCUUUUAAAAAAACGUAUAGAUCAAUAAAUUUAAAUUCCAGUGCGUGGUUUUUUUCUUUGGUUUAUAGAAAUUCUUUGCAACACUAUGAACUCAACCACGUAUUUGUUGAUGUUUUUUGUAAUUAUCACAUUGCCAUUGACAAUCAGUUGACCAUUACUCUAACAUUGGUAAAUGUAUUUUUAGUGGCCAGGUAAAAUGGUUAUAGAUAAGGUUGUGAUGUUUUAAAUGUAUUUAUUAUUUUUACUAUAUAUUAUUUUAGUUCACACACAUAUAUAUUGUGUUUUGAAACAAGUUUCCAUAAUUCUAAGCAAACUAAGUCUUGUAUUUUAAUUUUUUAUGGUAAUGGUACAGUUCACAUUCAUGUGGUAUCAAUCUCUCUUGAAUCUUUUGAUGUACGUUAACAAGAGAUCCAAGCUUUGUUUAGGAAAUAAAUCUUGUUUUCUGAGGA